Molecule: ribosomal RNA, 484 nt
Filed under: uncultured bacterium
Lineage: Bacteria
Description: partial 16S ribosomal RNA
Rfam family: Bacterial small subunit ribosomal RNA
Source: RNAcentral
AUUGAACGCUGGCGGCGGGCCUAACACAUGCAAGUCGAGCGGAUGAAGGGAGCUUGCUCCUGGAUUCAGCGGCGGACGGGUGAGUAAUGCCUAGGAAUCUGCCUGGUAGAGGGGGAUAACGUCCGGAAACGGGCGCUAAUACCGCAUACGUCCUGAGGGAGAAAGUGGGGGAUCUUCGGACCUCACGCUAUCAGAUGAGCCUAGGUCGGAUUAGCUAGUUGGUGGGGUAAAGGCCUACCAAGGCGACGAUCCGUAACUGGUCUGAGAGGAUGAUCAGUCACACUGGAACUGAGACACGGUCCAGACUCCUACGGGAGGCAGCAGUGGGGAAUAUUGGACAAUGGGCGAAAGCCUGAUCCAGCCAUGCCGCGUGUGUGAAGAAGGUCUUCGGAUUGUAAAGCACUUUAAGUUGGGAGGAAGGGCAGUAAGUUAAUCCCUUGCUGUUUUGACGUUACCCACAGAAUAAGCACCGGCUAACUUCGUG